UUUUGCAAUCUAGAUUAUAAUGGAUGGUUCCCCUUGUUGGAGGGGCUGAGCCCCCCACAGGUGGAAACCCUCAGACUCGCCCCUGCCCGGACGGAUGGUGAAAACUUUGCGCAGCCGGCGCGCGGGGCGGCGCCGUUUCUUUCUUCGCCAUACUUGCACAAACGCUCAGAGCAACGAACGCACUUAAAACCCUCCUCGGCACCGCAAAGUCCCGGCUUCUUUUUUUCUUUUUUAGAAUCAAGACCCACCCUGUUGAAGAGGGACGACGCCUAUAAAGUUACAGCAAAUGUAAAGAGGUGAAGCGGGUUAUUUCCUCAGACUAGUCGAUAAUAGUGAUUUUUGUCAGUACAUUUUAUAUAAUAAUCUAGAAAAAUGUUUUGUCGAAUUUCUGAAAGACAACCCGGUUCGUCCGGGGGCAAGAGGGUUUUGUGCACAUCUUCUUUGUCUUAAUAUUCAUAUUUAAUAACGACAAAUAUAAGACGGUAGCGAUGCAUUUAGGGUUGGUUACCGGAGCCAGAUGUUUUUCCAUUAUUUAGUUAUAUGGGAAUCACGAAGCUUUCUUAAAAAAUAUAUAUAUAUAUAUAUUUUUAUCACCAGAUCGACAUUUUUCUAGACAAAUUUUAAAUUUCCGAACAAUUCAUAGUUAAAGUUCUUAUAUUACAUUGACCCCAAAUGAAACGUGAAACAAACUUUUCUUAAUUCUUUCAAACAUAAAAAGGCACUUUCGUUCAAAGCUAAACUGAUGAUUAAACGACGAGUUGAAAUCGUUUCUCUGGCAGGUUUAUCAUUUUCUGGUCUCAUUUACUGAGCUUUUUUGUUCAUAAAACUGUGGUAGUUUCCUCCAAAAUGUGGCAAAGUUUUAAAAUAAUGACUUCCUCAGAAAGAAAGAUGGAAAAGCUUCUUGCUAGAAUACUGAUUGAAUGACCCUUUUCAAUAAGAAGCAGUGGAUUAGUGCUGUUAUGUAAUCCCGUUACUCCCCUCCUUCCUCAUCCAGCAUCCCAAUGUUUAUACAUUCAAUGAUGCUAAAUAUUUCAGCUGUAUAAUUCUACCACCUGUUCAUAUCAAGGAAUAAAUCAAAUGUUCAGUUUCUGCAAAGAUAUUAGCUCCUCUGUAAUGAUGUGGACAAUUGAUCGUGGAAUAAGAACAUCUGAGACAGUGAAAACAUACUUUAAAGUUUUUACCGCUAAAAUCUCUUUUAUGCCUUUUUGUUUGGUCUAAAAUAUGGAUUAUGGUUAUUAUUUUAAAGAAUGCUACUAAUAAACUGGAGGAAAAUAACACUUAUUUAUUCAAACUGAUAUUACUUCUCAGUCUUUUUUGGUGUUGUGCCAUCAGAUCAACUUCCUGUACAAACAUGUUCAUUUUUUAGGUUUUAGGUCAUGGUAAAUAAACAGAAAAGAUAUAAAUAGACAAUUACUGCCAAUAUCUGGAUUUUGGACAAUCAGCUAAAAAUUAUUGGAACAGUUUUUUUUUUAAAUCAUGGAUUUGGAUUGAAUGCACUCAUGGAAAUGUUGAAUAUUGUUUUUCUAUUAUUACUACAUCUACAGAACAAAAAUGUUUGAAUGAGCUGUUAUAUUAAUUAUGUGGAUUUAGUAUUAAAUUCUCUCCAUUUUAAUUUAGCAAACCUCUGUGUUGUUGUUUAUUGUGAAGUUAAGGACAGAUAAAUGUAGCUUCAGGUGCUGGAGUAACAUUUGACAGGAUUUUUUAGAAGACACCGCUGUACUGUUUGAUCGAAAAUGACCAGUAAAAAUCGCGUAUAAAAUGAGCUUCAUCCUGAAAUUAUCGUCCUGUUUUUCCCACAAAGCGUUUAGGAUGCAAACAGAACUGUUCGCAAAUAGGACAAGCACAAAAAAAAAUCAGAUUUUUAAGAAUUUAGUUGCCAGUCCUUAAACAAAGCUUUUCCUCCUUUUGUUGCUCGUCGAGGUUUUAGGAAAGGAAAUCUUCCUAGCAACACCCUUUGGACAACACUUCCAUGACAGAACGGCAGCUGAACUGAACUCAAAUCUAGGAGCUUGUAUAUUUUUUGGUCUGA
Molecule: long non-coding RNA, 2029 nt
Filed under: Oryzias sinensis (Chinese medaka)
Lineage: Eukaryota; Metazoa; Chordata; Actinopteri; Beloniformes; Adrianichthyidae
Description: lncRNA (ENSOSIG00000018908.1)
Source: RNAcentral